AAAUAAAGAAUUUAUCUACGUUUGUAUACUUUGUGUCCAGUCCUGAAUGGUUCUUUAAAUUUCAUUUUCAGUCUGACACAGAACAUACAGGCUAGUUACUUACAAAGACA
Molecule: microRNA precursor, 110 nt
Organism: Gallus gallus (chicken)
Lineage: Eukaryota; Metazoa; Chordata; Aves; Galliformes; Phasianidae
Source: Ensembl